Molecule: long non-coding RNA, 2823 nt
Organism: Parus major (Great Tit)
Lineage: Eukaryota; Metazoa; Chordata; Aves; Passeriformes; Paridae
Exons: 6
Source: RefSeq, a predicted model, not a curated record
CGCUGGCGGCCCCCACCCACGAGGCUGCCCCGCGCCAGCUUCUGCAGCUCGACAGGCACCACGGCGCUGGGGCAGUGCUUCUCGAUGUAGUCCUGGAAUCCCUGCACUCCCAUGGAAGGAAACUAGUCCAGAGCAUGUGCCACCAGGAGUCUGGCUGUCAGCACCCUUGGAGUCAGGGAGGCACAGCAGAGCUGAGCACUGCCAGUUUGUGCCUAGCCACAAACACAACCCUCCCUCUCCAAAGAGAAGAAAAGAGAGAGGAAAAGCAUAAGGUACUUCCAGAAUUUAUUUAAGACAAACUAAAAGUUUGGCCAGAAGAGAAGACCAUGGAAAAUAAGUUAAAUUUAUGGAAAACAAAAUUACUCUGGAAGGCAGGUAGAUUAAGCAAGACCUAAAGAGCAAUUAAUCAAAGACACAAGGGAAACAAGGUGUUUUUUCAUGAACCAGCAGCAGAAAGCCUGCAGGAUUCAUCAAUCUUCUUCCUCAGCACCGAGACACAAUGUGUUCCACACUUCCCAGAUGUUGCUUGUGUAAAGGAAGGGUUAAUAGCAGUUGGUAUUAAAGUCAGUGACUCAUUAUCCAACCUGAACAGAAGAGGAGUGGCUCCCUCAAAGGAAGGAACUGAGCAGUCAUUAGGAAGAACUAAGGAAUAACCAUGUCAGAGCAAGAACAGAGAUGAAUGUUAUCAGUUUGGUCUUGGUUCCUCUGUUAACAAAAGUCAGUCCCACAGCAAGAAGGACACGGACACAGGCUGUGGAACAGACUAGCCACUGUGACCUGAAAGCUACAUCUGCCUGGGAGGAGUAGAGACAUACUUUAUCCAUGGGAAACACUUGUUUGAUGUGAUUUCUCUUAAUAUUUCUCCUUUUUCCUCAAUCUGGUGCAUCUUGCUGUAGAUCUGCUGCCCCAGAACUUCCCUGUUCUUGCUGCUGUAGAAGAUCUCCCAGCCUUCAACUCACUGUCAGGACUGCAAGUGGCAGAAAACACCUGCCUCAGCUGCCAGCCUGCUCCUACAAACCCCACAGCUUGCACAGAGUAGACGAGCUGAGCUGAUGCCAGGAACGUGAAGGUCUUGUAAGAGGUGGCAUUUAAAGUUGUGUAUUCCCAGCUUCUGUAAUUACAGGUUCCCACAUCAGGAUGAUGCAUGGAAAAAGCACACAGAUAAGGCAUCGUUUGCCCAAACAUGUCAUCAGAAACUGACUCCCUAAAGCUCUUUUUCAGUAGGGGACUUUCAAGGCCUGGUCAGCCUGUCACUGGUACUACUGAAGACAGCAAGAAUCUCCCUGCAGAUUUCAGGGAGAGCAAGAGCAGACCCUGGGAGUGAAGAAACAUCAUUUGCAUUCACUUUGGCAGAUGGCUGUGUUCUAGGAGAACCUACAAACAGUUCUUGAGGCUCCAGGGUAGACUGAGAAGGGAGUGAAAUGAGUGGAAGAAAACAAGGUCUUCCUGUUUUCAUAGUGGACAGUAAGGAACAAUGGAAGAGAUGCCCGUCCAUGUCCCAUUUACAAUCACAAUCAUCAUCAUCCAUGAAUUCCAUGACUUUUUCAUUUCCAUUUUUCCUGCUUAACAUCACAGAGUGCUGGGGUGGCAGUGGCAGCAGCUGUUUACUGUAGCUGGAAUACCAGCAAGGCAUUUCCCUGGUGCACCAGCCAGAGCCAAAUCUGUAUUUUACAGGAACCUUCAAAGCAAACAUUUUAGGCCAACUGCGAAACUUGGAUUUGAAAUUCCAAAGCUUCUGAGCUCUGGUGUGCCACGGCACUCAGGGUUUGACUUUUACCCCUUUUCCACAUUGUCAGAGUCACUCCAAUGCUUUUCUUUGUAAGAGGACACAAGGUAUCCCAGCCAGAUCCCAUUGAAAAGUGCAAUCAUUCCUUUGAACUUUUCUCUUAAAAGACAGUGAUUUAAAGUCUGAAAUGGGCAAUUUCCUCCAUCUGGAAAAAAUGGAGAAAGAAGAGCUUUGCACUGAGUCCAGCAUGGUCCUGGUCAGACUCUUCAGCUGGGAUUCCAAUACAGCCUUGUUUUCAUUCAAGUGUUACAAUAACCAGGAGAAUCCUGCCAUUAUUUCUAGGAAUGAAGUAAUUUUUAAAUGGUGAAGUUGUGCAUAAUUUCAAUUAUUCUCAGAGAGAAUACUCAAGACAGGCCUCUUUGAUGUUUUGUUCACAGAAAUAGACACGUGAUGCAAGUUCAUAUAUACAAUGAAUGGACUUGGGACAAAUGCUUGAAGACUUCUUACAACAAAUUGCUCACAAAUGCAAGAGUUACUUCCAGAAUGGUUACUGCACAUGUGUUUGGAAAAAAUAUAUUGGAACAAAUCAAUCUGCUUGUGGACAAAUAAUGAAAAGAGAAAAAGGAAAAAUUCCUCUAACAAAUAUGAAACUGCAAAUUAUUCACUCAGCUCAGUUGGCAACAACCAAUUUUUGUGGUAGUAGGAGCUCAUGGAGUAGGAGGUAACUGUGUGAAGAAUGAUUGAUUUGGGAUCUUAUAUUGCAGUUCUGGAAGGGCUUCAAUUUCUAAUUUAAAAGCCAUCUUCCUCCUUUUACCCAGUAAAUAAAACACAAUGAUAGUUGAUUUCUGUGAGCUGUUUUGGGCAGAUAGAAUCUAUUUUCUGUCCUCUGGACACUGAAAACAGCUAGCUCAUAAGAAAGAACAGUUAUUUAUUAGAAAAGAUCUCUCUUGCUGUCUUGGGUUUCAAUGCAAGAUGUAACCACAAGUCUGUGUUCUAUUGCCAGCUGUUAAAACCAGGUGGGGCAGUGUUCUUUAUCUCUCCCACCACCCAUCCUCCCUCCAGGGGGAUCUUUUCUGUUAUUGGGCCAUUGAGUCUCA